UCAUUUCUCAGGAACAUAGAGUACAAAACUCCGUUCCGCCUUCAAAAUCGGAUUCAAUUCAAAUGCUUAAGUUCAUUUAAUGGUCAAAACAUGAGAGAUUUCAAUUAAACCAAGACAGAUUCAAUAACAGGGGUUAACAGUGCAGAAUUUGCACUCAAAACUGUGAGACCUGCUGCCUAAAUAGUGUAAAACAGGGAAGAUUUUCAGCAGGCUAACAGUCCAAACAAAUGUCUCAAAAUACUGCACGUUAUCAGCUCAACUCACUGCUGAAAAUUGACUUUUUCAGCAGCUCGAAAGAGCAAAAUUAUUAGAGCAGUAACAAAGCAUACGAAUUUUGGACAAAAGAAAGAAAAUUGAGCAAGCCUGAACAUAUACAAACAGCGAAACAAUUUAGCUUCGACACCCCUUUAGACCAACGCUAAGCUAAACCAAACACAACAGGAAUGACCCAAUCCUUAAGAAGCUAUUGCUGAAAAUUAAAUCAAUUGUAUUCGGAUAGCCGAAGUUUAGACCAACUACUGCUUUAGAACAAGCAUUGAAUAGCUUAUCUUCGAGCAUUCGUAGCAUGUCUUGGUAAAUACCAUUGACUGAGCAACACAACAGCAACAAAGACGAUCAGUGUUAAUUUUAUAAGCUCAUAUUGCACUCGAGACGGGUGAGAAAUUCUGUAACUCAAUGAAUCGACAAACAACAACUAAGGUUUCAUGAAUCUGUUUCUAUGCUCAAAUUUAACAAACGAGUGGGAUGACUUCAUACAAAUGCAGCCAUAAUACCAGUGCAUACAAUCGCUCGCCCAAUACAGAAUAAACACACACAAAAAAAACCAAAAACAGACCUAAAUCAAGGCCAACAUGACUCAGCUUUUAAUCCAAACAACAAAUACUGACUUUCAGGCAGUCUUAGAUAAAAAAACAUAACAGAACAUGAGCACACGACACAGAAUCACGGAAGAAAAAUAUAAAUGAAGAAGAAAUGAACCUGGAAUCAAUAAAUACUUCCGAUAAACUUUGCUCGAAUCCUAGUUACAACUAAAAUCCAAUAUCUAACAGCAACCAGCAACAAAAAUGAGAAGGAGUCAGAAGCUCGGACAGCGACGAACUCAGCAAAUUUCAAUCGAACUCCCUUUUUCGAAUGAACUCCAGCCCAGAAAGAAGGAACCAAAUAUAUUUUUGAUUUUUUAGAAAUAAAAGGAAUCGAAAACCAAAACGGAAUUCAACUCCGAAAAGAAAACUCAAAACUUAGAGAAGAAGAAGAAGAAAAGACUAUUUUAAACCUCAGUUUUUCUCCAAAAUUCUUACCCGAAAGUCAUCCCCCCUUCUGAAAUCAGCCCUCCAUAUAUAUAGGCCUCCUCACGAGAUUUUCCCCUCUUUAAGAAAUCCGGAAAUUAGUCUUUUCUAGAAUGAACCCUGACAGAUGGAAAGAGGGGAUUGAUCCUUCAAUCAAUCCACGGCUCCCAUUUCCCGGAUUCCUUCUCAGAAAUUCCCAAACGAAAGAAGCACAUGAGGGAGGAAAAAUUGUCAGAAACUGUUAGAACCUUGCUGAGGUGGAGAUAUAAGGUGCGCGUGAAUUAGGGAUUUGGGAUCACUCACCAUGGAUUUGGCCUGAAAUGGGACUGGAUUCGAGUGAAGAAGGCGAUGGAACAGUUCGCGUUUGGGUUAGAGAUUUAGGGGUCUCCGUAUGAUUGUAUUUGCGUGUGUAUAUAUGGACAGAUCGGGUCGUGGGCAAGGAGGGGGUGAUUUGGGCCGGAUUGGGGAUUAAA
RNAcentral lists this long non-coding RNA (1759 nucleotides) under Nicotiana benthamiana. RNAcentral's name for it is "long non-coding RNA (NBEN_LNC041808)". The record is from RNAcentral. Lineage: Eukaryota; Viridiplantae; Streptophyta; Magnoliopsida; Solanales; Solanaceae.